GAUGAACGCUGGCGGCGUGCCUAAUACAUGCAAGUCGAGCGAACAGACGAGGAGCUUGCUCCUCUGACGUUAGCGGCGGACGGGUGAGUAACACGUGGAUCACCUACCUAUAAUACUGGGAUAACUUCGGGAAACCGGAGCUAAUACCGGAUAACAUGUUGAACCGCAUGGUUCAACAGUGAAAGACGGUUUUGCUGUCACUUAUAGAUGAAUCCGCGUCGCAUUAGCUAGUUGGUAAGGUAACGGCUUACCAAGGCAACGAUGCGUAGCCGACCUGAGAGGGUGAUCGGCCACACUGGAACUGAGACACGGUCCAGACUCCUACGGGAGGCAGCAGUAGGGAAUCUUCCGCAAUGGGCGAAAGCCUGACGGAGCAACGCCGCGUGAGUGAAGAAGGUCUUCGGAUCGUAAAACUCUGUUAUUAGGGAAGAACAAAUGUGUAAGUAACUAUGCACGUCUUGACGGUACCUAAUCAGAAAGCCACGGCUAACUACGUG
Molecule: ribosomal RNA, 497 nt
Filed under: uncultured bacterium
Lineage: Bacteria
Description: partial 16S ribosomal RNA
Rfam family: Bacterial small subunit ribosomal RNA
Source: RNAcentral